This is a long non-coding RNA of Capsicum annuum, 1983 nucleotides long. RefSeq lists it as uncharacterized. The record is from RefSeq and is a predicted model, not a curated record. The transcript is spliced from 2 exons. NCBI's taxonomy places the organism in Eukaryota, Viridiplantae, Streptophyta, Magnoliopsida, Solanales, Solanaceae.
GCAGGGUUAUUCUUUUGAAUGAAUUCUAGUGGUCAUUUGGUCAUGAUUUUUUUUAUUUUGUUUUAUUCUCUAAUUUAAUUUUCAAAAAUCAUGUUUGAUUAGUCAUUAUAGAUCUCAUAAUAGAGCCUUUAAGUAAUAACUACUAAUUAUUAUAGAGCUUGUAGAUACGUAAUUUUGUCCCUCUCCAAAUUAUUUUUUACUUUUUUUUACCCCGUCUUACCACGUACCUUUACCCAUGUGAUAAUUUCCACAUAAUAACAAAUCCAACAAACUCUUAACCAUUUUGACACCCUCACCCAUUUAAUAAUUUACCCCACAAGAAUCUAAAUAACAAACUCACAACAAAAAAUAACAAUCCCUCUAACUAAUUUUGACACCUCACACCCAUACCCCGCCCCCUACCCCAUACCCAUGUUUGCAGUUCUCUUUUUAAGAUAUAGACGCACAACAAAAAACCAUCGGAGGGGGGAAUAUUUUUUCAUCCAUUCAUAGCAACAUACAAUAGGGGAGCUCACGGGAAUCAAACCAAAACCAUUCACCAUCAAAACACACACUCACACACCACAAAUUCACCUGGCACACACACAGCUUUUACUCACAAUAUACACACAAUUGCACUCACACAUCAAUCCUCACUGAUCUACACACAUUAACGCACAUAGUAACACAUGGGAGAGCAAAGUCAUGAGAAUCGGAGAGAGCUGAGCGGGGAAAAGGGAAGAUUAAGAGAAAAAUAAUAGAGAAUCAGUGAAAAGGCAAGGAGAAAAUACGUGAACAAAAAGAGAAGGAGAACAUCUUGGUCCAGAUUUUUUUGGUGAAGGAUUCGCCAAAAUCAUCAACCUUUUUCGACCAAAACUCCAUUAAUACUGGUCAACUCUGGCAAAACCCGACCCCUUCCUGUUGUCCACCACCAAAACCCCAAGUAAGUCCGCCCCAAAUCGACUCAUCCACCAUCAGAAAUUAGUAGUGAAACCCACCAAAAAACAACAUAAACCGACUCCCAUUCUCAAACUUUCAAUGAAACCUACUGGAUAAUUAUAAUACCAGUCGAUCUGGAAGUCAAUAUAGAUCAGAAAAUGAUCGGGUUUGGGCAAAACAAAGUUUGAGGUCGAAUUGUUGAUUUGGGGGGAUAUAUUGAGGCUUAUUUAAGUUACGAGUUUCGGUUGGCAAAAAUUAGUGAAGCCUUUACCGAGGUUGGGAUUAUUCAUCAUCAAGGUUUGAUUUAAGCUUUCCAGUGCGAACUCCGUCUUGUUUAACUUGGUAAUACAUGAAUAAAAGCAGCAUUAAGAGAAUGCCCCAAAGUAUCAUGUAUGCAAAGGAGGCUCGUGAUCAAGGCCCGAGGCAUCGGGUAAAGCAUAGCUAGCAUAGUUAGAAUAGUUUAUGUUUAUUUCAGUAUAUUUUAUUUUGGACUGUAAUAAUUGGAUUGGACAUUUUUUUUGGACUUGGUUUGUUUUUUUGAUUGAUUGGUUGUUUUGUGUGUUUUAUUUGGUUUAUACAUUCAUAGUGUCAUACUAGCCGAUAUAAUCCACGAAGCGACCAUGAUCGAACUAUAGGAUUGAGGGGUGCCUAACACCUUCUGCUUAAUCAACAGAAUUUCUUAGCCAGAAUUUCUGUUCGCUGAUCAGUUUUUAGAGUCAAACUAUUUUGAAAAAGGCUUUUCAAAGGUGACUUGGUACACCUGACCUAUGUCAAGUGAAGACCCUAAAUUCAAAUGAAAAAGAAUCUUUUUCGAAACAAAUUUCAUUUUUUGUCACUUAAUAAUAAAAAUCCCUUUCAAACUUAAAAUGAUAAUCUUUUUUGGUAAAAAAAAAAGGUGUGACAACUCUGGCGACUCUGCUGGGAAACUUUUCAAGAUUCGAGCUUAUUUUUGGAGUUGUGUCGGCUUAGUUUGACACUAUGGGUGUAUAGACGUUGUUUGUGUUAUUAUUUGUAUUUGUUUUAUCAUUGUUGAUCGUCUACUUGCUACGUGUUUAUAGUUUUUCC